CCUACGGGAGGCAGCAGUGGGGAAUAUUGGGCCAUGGGCGCAAGCCUGACCCAGCAACGCCGCGUGAAGGAAGAAGGCUCUCGGGUUGUAAACUUCUUUUUAGAGGGAAGAGCAGAAGACGGUACCUCUUGAAUAAGCCACGGCUAACUACGUGCCAGCAGCCGCGGUAAUACGUAGGUGGCCAGCGUUGUCCGGAUUUACUGGGUGUAAAGGGCGUGCAGCCGGGAAGACAAGUCAGAUGGGAAAUCCCGGUGCUCAACCGCGGAACUGCGUUUGAAACUGGUUUUCUUGAGUACCGGAGAGGGCAGCGGAAUUCCGUGUGUAGCGGUGAAAUGCGUAGAUAUUAGGAAGAACACCAGUGGCGAAGGCGGCUUACUGGACGGGAACUGACGUUGAGGCUCGAAAGCGUGGGGAGCAAACAGGAUUAGAUACCCCUGUAGUC
Molecule: ribosomal RNA, 442 nt
Filed under: uncultured bacterium
Lineage: Bacteria
Description: partial 16S ribosomal RNA
Rfam family: Bacterial small subunit ribosomal RNA
Source: RNAcentral